UAGAGUUUGAUCCUGGCUCAGAUUGAACGCUGGCGGAAUGCUUUACACAUGCAAGUCGAACGGCAGCACGGGAGCUUGCUCCUGGUGGCGAGUGGCGAACGGGUGAGUAAUGCAUCGGAACGUGCCGAAUAGUGGGGGAUAACGCACCGAAAGGUGUGCUAAUACCGCAUACGCCCUGAGGGGGAAAGUGGGGGACCGCAAGGCCUCACGCUAAUCGAGCGGCCGAUGUCGGAUUAGCUAAUUGGUGGGGUAAAGGCUCACCAAGGCGACGAUCCGUAGCGGGUCUGAGAGGAUGAUCCGCCACACUGGGACUGAGACACGGCCCAGACUCCUACGGGAGGCAGCAGUGGGGAAUUUUGGACAAUGGGGGAAACCCUGAUCCAGCCAUGCCGCGUGUCUGAAGAAGCCUUCGGGUUGUAAAGGACUUUUGUCCGGGAGGAAACCCUGAUCGUUAAUAGCGGUCGGGACUGACAGUACCGGAAGAAUAAGUACCGGCUAACUACGUGCCACAGCCGCGGUAAUACGUAGGUGCAGCGUUAAUCGGAAUACUGGG
This 553-nucleotide ribosomal RNA is filed under the name uncultured beta proteobacterium. RNAcentral's name for it is "bacterial SSU rRNA". It matches the Rfam family "Bacterial small subunit ribosomal RNA", at positions 1 to 558 of the family's 1533-position model. The record is from RNAcentral. Lineage: Bacteria; Pseudomonadati; Pseudomonadota; Betaproteobacteria.